UACGUAGGUGGCAAGCGUUGUCCGGAUUUACUGGGUGUAAAGGGCGUGCAGCCGGGCUUCUAAGUCAGAUGUGAAAUCCGCGGGCUUAACUCGCGAACUGCAUUUGAAACUGGAGGUCUUGAGUACCGGAGAGGUCAUCGGAAUUCCUUGUGUAGCGGUGAAAUGCGUAGAUAUAAGGAAGAACACCAGUGGCGAAGGCGGAUGACUGGACGGCAACUGACGGUGAGGCGCGAAAGCGUGGGGAGCAA
Molecule: ribosomal RNA, 248 nt
Filed under: uncultured Oscillibacter sp.
Lineage: Bacteria; Bacillati; Bacillota; Clostridia; Eubacteriales; Oscillospiraceae
Description: partial 16S ribosomal RNA
Rfam family: Bacterial small subunit ribosomal RNA
Source: RNAcentral